This is a long non-coding RNA of Helianthus annuus (common sunflower), 842 nucleotides long. RefSeq lists it as uncharacterized. Lineage: Eukaryota; Viridiplantae; Streptophyta; Magnoliopsida; Asterales; Asteraceae. The record is from RefSeq and is a predicted model, not a curated record. The transcript has 2 exons.
UAUUGCUCGAUUCCGUCAUCACGCAUCCUUACCCUAGUAUAUCUAUAAGGGUGUCGGGUCAACUUGGACGUAAAGUAUCGACCCAUGUGGUUUAUGAUUAAGUAUUAACCCAACGUGUCCCUUACUAGUACGAGGAACUAACACACGUCAGCACUAGUUCAAGAACCUAAGAAGUCAUACAACGAUCGAUGCUUAGGGGGUGUUUGUUUUUUUAGAAAAGUACUUCAGAACCUCUUUUCUCUUCCCCACGCAGACCACGCGCAAACAUAGGGGUCUGCAGCUUGUUUGUUUUUUAGAAGGGUUUUCAUUAAAAAACCUCUUCCUCACCUCUGUUUCACACAGAUGUGGUCAAAAGACUUCUUGCCUCUUCUCAAAUCUUCUCCUUCAAAAAAAUUAAACCCUAAUCUUUCACAGCCGCACCCACAGCUCCUCCCCAACCCUCUCCACGUCUGCCAUCGCUGCUCCUCCUCUGGCGCCGCCCCCACCUCUCGACGACCGCCACCUCUCGGCGACCUCCGCCUCUCGACGACCUCUAUCAGCCUGCUCCACCUCUCGAGACAUAGAAUACGAUCAACCCAAUGUUUCGGUUCAAAAUAGGCUAGUGCACGUUGAUGCUGAUGAAGACGAGGUUGAGGCACAUGGUACUGCAUCGGAUCGGGAAUAUAUGACUCGGUUACGAGAUGAGAUUCCUGAGCAGUUAAUGCAAAGCAUGAAUACAAUGAUUUAAAAAAAAAUGUUAUUGUCUUUUUUAUGAAUAUUAUUUCAGUAUUGUAUAACUAUUAUUUAAGUUUGAAUGUUGAAAAACUCUUAUAACUUUAAUAAAUCAGUUUAUUUAUAUUUCA